UACGUAGGGACCAAGCGUUGUUCGGAUUUACUGGGCGUAAAGGGUGCGUAGGCGGCGCGUCAAGUCAGUUGUGAAAUCUUAAGGCUUAACCUUAAACGGUCAACUGAUACUGUCGUGCUAGAGUGCAGAAAGGGCAAUCGGAAUUCUUGGUGUAGCGGUGAAAUGCGUAGAUAUCAAGAGGAACACCUGAGGCGAAGGCGGGUUGCUUGGCUGACACUGACGCUGAGGAGCGAAAGCGUGGGGAGCGAACAGG
This 253-nucleotide ribosomal RNA is filed under the name uncultured bacterium. RNAcentral's name for it is "partial 16S ribosomal RNA". It matches the Rfam family "Bacterial small subunit ribosomal RNA", at positions 524 to 776 of the family's 1533-position model. The record is from RNAcentral.